GGUGGCUCAGUGGUAGAGUACUUGCCUUGCAUGCAUGAAGCUCUGGGUUCAAUUCCUUGGCACCA
RNAcentral lists this transfer RNA (65 nucleotides) under Dipodomys ordii (Ord's kangaroo rat). It matches the Rfam family "tRNA". Rfam says of the family: Transfer RNA (tRNA) molecules are approximately 80 nucleotides in length. Their secondary structure includes four short double-helical elements and three loops (D, anti-codon, and T loops). Further hydrogen bonds mediate the characteristic L-shaped molecular structure. tRNAs have two regions of fundamental functional importance: the anti-codon, which is responsible for specific mRNA codon recognition, and the 3' end, to which the tRNAs corresponding amino acid is attached (by aminoacyl-tRNA synthetases). tRNAs cope with the degeneracy of the genetic code in two manners: having more than one tRNA (with a specific anti-codon) for a particular amino acid; and 'wobble' base-pairing, i.e. permitting non-standard base-pairing at the 3rd anti-codon position. The record is from Rfam by way of RNAcentral. Lineage: Eukaryota; Metazoa; Chordata; Mammalia; Rodentia; Heteromyidae.